This is a long non-coding RNA of Oncorhynchus keta (chum salmon), 1290 nucleotides long. RefSeq lists it as uncharacterized. Lineage: Eukaryota; Metazoa; Chordata; Actinopteri; Salmoniformes; Salmonidae. The record is from RefSeq and is a predicted model, not a curated record. The transcript has 3 exons.
UUAUGUGUAGGUAGUACAGACACACUUUAUGUGUAGGUAGUACAGACACACUUUAUAUGUAGGUAGUACAGACACACUUUAUAUGUAGGUAGUACAGACACACUUUAUAUGUAGGUAGUACAGACACACUUUAUAUGUAGGUAGUACAGACACACUUUAUAUGUAGGUAGUACAGACACACUUUAUAUGUAGGUAGUACAGACACACUUUAUAUGUAGGUAGUACAGACACACUAUAUGUAGGUAGUACAGACACACUAUAUGUAGGUAGUACAGACACACUAUAUGUAGGUAGUACAGACACACUAUAUGUAGGUAGUACAGACACUUUAUGUGUAGGUAGUACAGACACACUUUAUAUGUAGGUAGUACAGACACACUUUAUAUGUAGGUAGUACAGACACACUUUAUAUGUAGGUAGUACAGACACACUGCUCAUUUGUCACUCUAGUGUUAUCUGCUAAAUUGUAACUAUUCGCUCCUAUGGCCUAUUUAUUGCCUACCUCCUCAUGCCUUUUGCACACACUGUAUAUAGACUCUUUUUCUACUGUGUCAUUGAUUUGUUUAUUGUUUAUUCCAUGUGUAACUGUGUUGUCGUCUGUGUCACACUGCUUUGCUUUAUCUUGGCCAGGUCGCAGUUGCAAAUGAGAACUUAUUCUCAACUGGACUACCUGGUUAAAUAAAGGUGAAAUAAAAAAAAAUAUCUACUAAAAGACAAAUCAUCAACUGUAGCAUCAACUGUAGGGACGAAGCAAAUGAAGCACUGUGUGCCCAAUGACCGUUGUUAAGUUGUCAUAUCAUGGGAUCUUCUGCAAAGUUAAUACAGGCAUUUUAAAAAUCUGGAAUUUCUUAUUAAAGAAAAUUGAAUGAACAGACUUCUUUCAAAGAACACAUUUAGCAUGUAUUGUACAGUAUUUAGACACCACCGCAGGGCAAUAAAGUCAACUCCAAUCAGUCUGCGCCUUUAUGGUUCCAAGUCUAGGAAAACAUUCCUAGAAAACAGGCAACCCUCUCAGGAGCCGGACACAAUCUUCAUGACUUUUCUUAGAAAACAUCAAGACCUCCCUGCACAAUGCCAAUAACAGCGUUUUCUAGGAAUUCCUACAAAGGUUUUGAAGAACAAGUCAGAAGGAGAGUCAACAGGGUGUUUAUGUGCCGUACCCAACUACUAGUGAAAAGUAGGCGCGGCUGGCUGUUUAGCCUCACUAUGUAGGACAGCUGAUCCAAGAACAGUUUCUGCAGUUUUCAAGCGCAGAAAUGAAAUGACCAGAACAUCAUGCACUGUAAGUGU